UUACGGCCACAUCGCGUUGAAACACCGAUUAUUGUACGAUUACCGAAGUUAAGCAACGUCGAGUCUGCUCAGUACCAAAGUGGGUGACCGUUUGUGAAUACCACGUACUGCAAG
Molecule: non-coding RNA, 114 nt
Organism: Acanthosepion pharaonis
Lineage: Eukaryota; Metazoa; Mollusca; Cephalopoda; Sepiida; Sepiidae
Source: the annotation of a GenBank genome assembly